Molecule: ribosomal RNA, 427 nt
Filed under: uncultured bacterium
Lineage: Bacteria
Description: partial 16S ribosomal RNA
Rfam family: Bacterial small subunit ribosomal RNA
Source: RNAcentral
GUGGGGAAUAUUGGGCAAUGGGGGCAACCCUGACCCAGCGACGCCGCGUGAGGGAAGACGGCCUUCGGGUUGUAAACCUCUUUUGUACGGGAAGAAGGAAGUGACGGUACUGUACGAAUAAGUCCCGGCUAACUACGUGCCAGCAGCCGCGGUAAUACGUAGGGGACGAGCGUUGUCCGGAAUUACUGGGCGUAAAGGGCGCGCAGGCUGUGCUGCAAGUCAGCUGUGAAAUGUCUGGGCUUAACCCGGGCAUGCGGUUGAGACUGCAGUGCUGGAGUGCUGUAGAGGAAAGUGGAAUUCCAAGUGUAGCGGUGAAAUGCGUAGAUAUUGGGAAGAACACCGGUGGCGAAGGCGACUUGCUGGGCAGCAACUGACGCUGAGGCGCGAAAGCCAGGGGAGCAAACGGGAUUAGAAACCCGGGUAGUCC